UUUUUUUUUUGAACUUUAUUAUUUCAUUUAUUUUCAUUCUUUAUAUAAUCUAAAUCUACUAAUUAAUUUGAUUUUGCAAUAAGAAAGAAGAUUUUCAGGCAUUGAAGUUAAGAAAGUUAGUCGGACUCUGUUCAUCUAUAUUUCUGGCCACUUUGAACCGACAUCACCACACAAAUUAAAAUAUAAGUUAAUUAAGCUUAUUGACAAUGAUAUAUUAAAAUUUUGUAGAAUUAAUUUGAGUAUUCUCGAUUUCUUAUCGUCGUUAAUUUCAAAAUGAUUACAUUCAUUUAUUUUUCAGAGGCAUCUCAAAAAUCAUUUUUCUAAGCUACAGAUUAUUCACGAAUAGAUUUAAUCUCCAUAAUUUAUAGAAAUAAUAAGAAGAAAAACAAAAAGUAAUCUGUCAAAGUAGUCGAGAACGGCGAGUGCCUAAGGAAGAAGAAGAAUGGGCAAAAGCUUUAGUAGGUGGGGUUGAAUUAUUUAGGGUUGAAAACAAUACUUAUUUUUUUAUCUUUCAAAAUUAUAAAAUAAUUUUUUUAUAGUUAGAUUGGGCAAUAGGCCAUGGGCCAGGUGUCAUAAUUUUAUUCGUAACUAUUUUAAGCUACGGAAUGUGAGUUACAUGCAUAGGGUUUUAUGUAUUGAUUGUCAUUUUGUGUCUAAUAGAUAUAUAUUUGUUAAUAUUAAAGUGUCUAAUAGGUAUUAGCCUUAGUUGAGGUGUCUAAGUGAAAUAUGCGGACAACUUUAAGGGGUCAUGGAUGACUUAAGCCAAAAAAAAAGCAAAUACAUCAUUACCCCAUUCAACUAUAACACUUUUUUAAAAAAGACACCGAAACUUUGCAAAGGUCCUAGUUAAACAAUUUAAAAGUGGUAAAACUAUUUCAUUUUUCCAUCAACCCCAAGUAUAAGAAAGGAAGUGCAUACACGCACCAAUUAAUACUCACCACGUGUCAAUCAGGUUAAUUUUAAAUUUUUAUUUUCAUAUAUAUUAUUUCUUAUUCAUUUUCUAAAAAAAUAAUAAGUAAAUUGUCUUUUCUUUUUCUUCAACAAUAUUUCAACAGCGGUAGUGGUCGUUCUCUUCACUACCGUCGGCAUUCUCUUGCUUUGCCACCACUGCUAUAACAUCAAUAACACAUCUCAACAAUGGCUAAGCAAAUCUGUAGGAGCAAAAUUUCUUCUAUUUUCUCCAAUGGAUAAUCUUCUUUUUGUGUAUUUUGCCUUUGAUUUUUGCUCGAAAUCAAGAUGCUUUGUAUCGAUAAAGACUAGAAGUCUCUCUCUAAUUUUAUAUAGUGUAUUUACUACUUCGUUUGAACAUGACCCUUGGCGAUUCUCUCUCCGUUGUGCGCCGACGUCGUCAAUCUCUCUAGCGCUUCUUUCCGAUUUCCCCCCACCACCUCACUCUGCUUCCAUCUCUUUCUCUUUUCAAUAAUCUCAUCAAUUUUCUUCAAAGCUUUGGAGUGGAAAUUUUCUAUGGCCUCCAAUUUAUCUUCCAGUGCAAGAAUUGCAGCUUGUUCAUCGGAGUGCUGAUAGGUCUCAAUUGUCAAAAAAAAAUAAAACUAUUUUUCAUCAAAAAUACAAUAAAACAAAUAGAGUAAAAAGAAAAUCAUAUUUCUAAUUAAAUAAUUACUAAAAUAAUUAAAAUAAUAUUUUUUUGUUUAUCUCACUCGCCACUUGCAAGUGAAAUACACUUUGUGUGCCACAUAGGAUCAUAAGGGGGUAAUUAAUCCACUGUGAAAAAGAAUAAGGGGGUACUAGGACCCUUUGAAAGUUCAAGUGUCUUUUUUUUUAAAGUGUUAUAGUUGAAUGGGGUAAUGAUGUAUUUUCUCAAAAAAAAAGUGACAACUUUGACUAGCUAGAACCCAUUUGGAUUAGCUAGUUACAAAUCCUAGAUACUAAGUUAGUGCAUUUAUGAGCUCUUUUUGAAGGAGUGUAACAUAUCUAUCCUCUUCCUAAUCUCCCUUUGGAUCUGUGCUAUAACAAAACUUGUAUUUACAUGUAAGUUUUUGAAAAUCUUCAUGUUUCAUGCUCGCUAAGUGUGAUAAAUCAUAGCACCAUAAAUUAUCGUAGCUACUUCCUUUUGGAACCUCUUCCAUCUUUUUCUCUGGAACCAUUGCAGAUUUUGUAUCACUCCCCUCUGUUGCAAGUACAGGCCUGACCUUGUAGAGAGAGAGCGAUCCUUACUUUCGAUAUCCGGCGACAUCUAGCAAGCAAAUGAAUCUGAGUCUCUAUUUCAUCUUCCGCACACAAGCAGCAUGUAAAGUCAUCAACUAAAAUGUUGAAUCUGUUCAUUCUUUCCUUGGUAAGUAUCCUAUCUCUGGAAAGCAAUCCAUAGGAUCAUUCUAUACUUUGGCAGCAUCAUUGAAUUUCAUAUAAGCUCUGCUUCUUUCACUCUAGGCAAUUGACCAAGUAAAGCGAAAUAACUCUUAGACACCGAGUAAUUAUCAGAAAGGAAGAGAUGGUAACUUUCCCUACUAUACCAAUGAAUCAUCUACUCCUUUAGUGAGUUCAGCUUCCUCAAGUAUCAACUAUUGUCCGUAGAUUGACAAAGAUUACAUAUUUGUACACCAUCCUUUAUGUAAAUUCCAUGAAUGCAUUUAACCCACAAUAAGUCUUGUUUUGUAGCCAAUUGUCAUAUCAAUUUUCCAACAGAGGCAAUAUUUAGCUCUUGCAGCUUCUAAUGUUUAGGGCACCACAUUUCUUAGGAGUACAAAUUUUCUUCCAUGCUACUAGCGUUAUUUUCCUCUUUUCAUCAGUUUUCCCCCACAAAUAAUUCCUGCAUUCUUGUCUACUUCCUUCAAUACACUUUGAGGUAGUAUAAACACAGUCCCCCAAAAAUUAUAGAUAGAAAAUAAGACAACAUUUAUGAUUUGAAGUCGACCAGAAUAAGACAGUUGUCUAGAAUAAAAUGUGAUUCUGGAGAUUACCUUUUCAAUUAACUGAUGACACUUCAUUUUACUCCAUUUCUUUGAGGACAAAGGUAGGCAUUUUAACUUAUUUUAAGUUAUUUUUAACAUUACCAAACACUUCCUAACUUAUUUUUAGUCAUUUUUUGACUUAUUUUACGUUGUUUUUAUAUUUGUCAACACUUUCAGAAGUCAAAUAACGACUUAUAAGUAGGUUUAAUCAACUUUUAAGUCAAUUCAAACACACUCUAAAGCUUCUACUAGUAAAGGAUUAAGUUAAGUAAACAAUAAAUGUAUUUCUUAAAACUUAAUAAAAUACAAAAAUAAUCCCCUCUUGACCUCUCCACAGGGAAUUGGAAAUUCAAAUUUAUUUUAUUCUUCUUCCACUUAGAAUUUAAAGUCAAAGAAGGAAACUUCUCAAUUUCGUUUUCAUCUUCUUCGUUUCAUUUUUCUUUUUGUGUUCGUCGUCGUCGUGAUCGUCUUGCUACUCUACUGCUAGGGUUUCAACAGUUUUUAAAAAUAAUAUUUUUUUUUCUUUUUCUCAUAGUCAGGAUUUCGAUUCUUCUUGUGAAAAUGGUGUUUAGGUUAAAAAAGAUAAUAACAUACAUGAAUUUCACGAAUUUUGUUGUUGCAUGCCCUAAUAAAUAUGUUCUUGGGUUGUUUGGUGUUUUUUUAAAUAUGUUGUUGUACUCUUUGUGAGAAAAUAUGUUGUUCUUGAAGUUAUUGUACUCUUUGUGAGAAAAAAAUAUAUUCUUAUAGUUGAUGGUGGAUUGGUGUUGAUGGUUGGUUCCUCAGAUCUUGUUGUGAACAAAUGAAGUAGUUGCUAAAGUAUUUAUAACAACAACUGAACUUUCUGAAAUAGUUGAGUGAAGUUGUAGAAAGUUGUUUCACUCAACUGUAGUAAAUUAAAGAAGAAGAAAAAGAACACAAUUUUCUUAGAUUGCUCAUGUAGUGAUGUGUUCUUAAAUAUGUUGUUCGUGAUUGUUGUUAUAUUCUUUGUGAGAGAAAAAAUAUGCUCUUGUCAUUGGUGUUGGUAAUUGGUUGUUAUUCUGUAUUGAGCUUGAAUAUUGUACAUUUGUUGCAAUAACCUCAAAACUUGAUGUGAAUAGAUGAAGUAGUUGCUGAAGUUGCUAUAACAAGUAUGCUGAAUUUCUAAAUUUGUUGCAGUUGCUGCUAAAGUAUAUACAACAACUACUUAAGUCUAUGGUGCAAUUGUUAGAAUUUUUAUAGCGAUUUAAACAUUAAUUGCAAUAGUUGCUUCAUUAACUCCAACAAUUACUUCAUAUGUCUCUUUAUUUGGAAUUAUUUAUUAAAUUAAUAUAUUAUCUAUAUUUUAUGUUACAUGUGUAAAUAGAGUGGCUCGGAGAAAAAAGAAAAAAUUCUAGAGAUUAGGGAUGGGCAUUUGAUAGAUCGGUUCGGUUUCAAUUUAUUUAUUUAUUUCAAUUUUCGAUAAUUGAGUUUUUUGUACCAAACACUGAACCGAAUUAAUUCGGUUCGAUUUGAUUUUUUGUAAUACAGUUUAGUUCGAUUCGAUUUAUUAAAUUUGGUUUUUAAUGAUGUAGUAUUGUAGUUCGCUGGUGUUAGAUCACAUUAGGUACAGGCAGACGACGAUGGCCGACGGACGGACGCUGCAAAAUGCUGGAGCCUAAGGGGUGCUAAGGGCAGAUUGAAACUUUUGAACGAAAAGUAAAAGGACAAAAAAUUUGAAACGGAAAGUAAAAAUUUGGAACGGACGCAACAACUUGGAGAUGAAAGAGGAGGUGCGGCGGCUGGGUAGAUUGAAAAUUUGAAACGAAAAGUAAAAAAAAAAUCAAAAAUGAAAACCUAAGGGGUGCUACAGGGAAGAAAAUGAAAUAUAGUUAGUAGUUACUAGUUAGUACCAGUAGUUAGUAGAAAUUAGAAAAAAUAUAAUAUAUUAUUAAUAAUUAAAUAAUAUCUAAAAUAGUAAUGCAUAAAUUUUGGUUAAACCGAAAUACAAAAAUUGUGUACCAAAAACUGAAUCAAAAAACCAAAGUAACAAAAAAUAUGAAUCGAUACCGAAUCGAAAAUCCGAAAAAUUGAAACUGAAAAUUGGAAAAAAUUUAAUCUGAUUCAGUGUAUCAAUUUUUCGGUAUUUAUUCCCACCCCUACUAGAGAUGAUGUUCCUACUAGAAUCUCAAAAAAAAUAAAUGAAGUAAUACAUAAAGAGAGGUUGAAGAACAACAAAACAAUGAUAUAAAUGAAACACAAUUGACAAAUCUUGUUGAGCAUAUCAAACCCUAAGCAACUAGAUAAGGGUCUGGAGGAGGAGGGGGAAUAGGAGGAGGAGGAGAAGAUCUUGUUGAGCAUAUCAUUGUUGAAAGUAUCUUGUUGAGCAUAUCAUUGUUGAGAAUUAGACAACGUCAAACCCUAGGCAAUUAAAUGAGGGUCUGGAGCGGUCAACAACAGUAGGAGGAGGAGUCUGGAAGAAGAGAUGAUUCUUUCAAAGAUGUAGAUGAUUCUGAUUUUGCUGAUAAUUUAAAGAAUAUUGAAGAUAAUGGUGAAGUUGCACAAGAUGAGGUUAGAUAAAAAAGACGUUAUGAUAAACCUGUACCGUAGCUUCCACUGACCAGUCCUUCAUCUGUCAGUCCUUCUGCUACUAAUCCUUCAAUAGUUGUCAGUCCUUCCGCUGUCAUUCCUUUUGUCGAUGGUCUUUUAGUUGUUAGUCCUUCCAUUGUUGAUCCUUCUUUCGCAAGAUCUUCAGUUGUUAGCCCCUUCAAUUGUUGAUCUUUCAAUCAAAUUUGUCAAGUCUAUUAAGUAUUUAUCUUAUGGCUUUGAGACACCUAAGGAUACUCAUCCAAAUAUGAUUGGUGAUGUUGUAGUAAGAUCAUAAAUGAAAAAAAUCGUUUAAUAAUUUUAGAAAAAUGUUGAAUAAACAAAAUUUGAAAAAAUUCUUUAGAUCUACGAUUUUUGAAAAAUAUCUAGACCUAGAUGAAAGUAUGAAUGCUCAAUUUCAAAUGAAGUUGGUAAUCAACUUCUUCAAUGCUAGAUUAAACGUGAGAGAACAAAUGAGUAUUGGAUAAAUUAUUACGGCAUAUCUGUUUAUUUUGGCACGAAAGAGUUCACCAUUAUAACUGAUUUGAACUUUCACUUACUUCAUCAUUAUGUCAUCUAGUCAACUAAGAUAGACAGAAGAUAUCAACAAAUUAUUGAUACGAUGGGAAAGAAGUAUUGAAUAUGAAAGUAAUUGCUUGAGCUUUUGAAGUCUAAGAAGAUUUUAAAAAGUAUGUGUCACGACCCGGGAGCAUCCCCUAGUCGUAACCGGCGUACUCGACCUCGAAGAGGUCUAAUACAAGCCUCUUAGCAUUCAUUCAUCGCAUAGACACUAAAACCAUAAGGAAUUUAAAACUUUCUUUACCAAGAAAACAUUGCAUAAAAAAAAUAGCAAGCGGAAGACUUUCUAGACUUUAUACAUGAUGUCUCAAAACCAUCUAAUACUUUAGAGUACAAAAUUCGGGACUAAUCCCGUACACAACUUAAACAAUACUAAAAGACAAAAGAACAUAUUGGGUAUUGUCCUCGAAUCUAUGAGGACUCACCAAGUCUUCAUCUUCAACACUUAGAAACCUAUCAAAUAGCCAUGACAUGUCAUCAUCUCCAAAUCCCUACACUUUAGUCCAAAAAGGGAAAGAAAGGGGUUAGCACAAUUAAGUACUAAGUAUGGAAGCCAUGCAAAAACAUGCUAAAAGGGACGUUUAUUGGAGAAACAUGCUUUUAUGCCAUUUGGUAAAACUUCAUGAAAAAAAAUACAAGUAAGCCUUUUCAUCAUUUCUUGACCUCUAUCUCAAGUUACCCAAAGCCACACUUAAGUGAAACAUGAAGUGACCGCCCAUACAAUCUCUUCAUAUACACCUAAGUAUUCCUAAGGGUUACCAUAGAUAAGGAAAUUUACCAUUACAAUAUAACAUACUAAGUCAAUGUUCACAUAUAAAACCAUAGCCAACCGUAUACAUACUCAACAUAUAUUCAUAUACAACCCAUGCUUAACUUUAAAAGAACACAUGCCAUUUCAUUACCAUAGGACCUCUACCUAAUAUAACCUUAAGACACACUUGAGUAAGACAAGAAGUGACCGCCCAUACAACCUCUUCAAGCACACUUAAGUGUUCCCCAAGAUUACCUUAGAUAAGGACAUUUCCUUUACAACAUAACAUCAAUAGACCAACAUUCUUUAAGAAACCAUUUUUGGAGACAUUCAAGCACAUAAGGGGACUUUCACAUAAUAGUCGUUAGACUUAGGGAACUCACUUUAGUAUCUUCAAAGCCUACUCGUGCCAUGUGUAGAUAGCAUCCCAUACUACUACCUACACUUUGUAGAACCUAUCAAGAAACCAUAAUGAAAUCUCACAUGAUGGGAAGUAAGCAUUUAACCGACAUAGACCAUGAGAGCUUGUCAUGGAAUCCGGUGUCAUGAGUCCCCACACCGAAAAGAGGUGGUCUACUUGCCUAAGGAAGACCGGUAUAUAUAGCUUAAUGGAUCCACUAGCUUCCUAUGCGGGCACAUAGUUUAUGGGAUAAGGUAGACGAUCAUUGAAACUCAUGCCUAACUGUCGGGGGAGUUUCCAUCUAACCAAAUCCGCUCGGUGCUUAGCCUACAUUCCCAUAGAAUAGUUCAUUACUUUGACAUCAUCACACAUGAAAGGGUGCCAUAAGCCUACCGAUUCAAGGUACAUUAUUUAACACAUGAAAGGGUGCCAUAAGCCUACCGAUUCAAGGUACAUUAUUUAACACAUGAAAGGGUGCCAUAAGCCUACCGAUUCAAGGUACAUUAUUUAACACAUGAAAGGGUGCCAUAAGCCUACCGAUUCAAGGUACAUUAUUUAACACAUGAAAGGGUGCCAUAAGCCUACCGAUUCAAGGUACAUUAUUUAACACAUGAAAGGGUGCCAUAAGCCUACCGAUUCAAGGUACAUUAUUUAACACAUGAAAGGGUGCCAUAAGCCUACCGAUUCAAGGUACAUUAUUUAACACAUGAAAGGGUGCCAUAAGCCUACCGAUUCAAGGUACAUUAUUUAACACAUGAAAGGGUGCCAUAAGCCUACCGAUUCAAGGUACAUUAUUUAACACAUGAAAGGGUGCCAUAAGCCUACCGAUUCAAGGUACAUUAUUUAACACAUGAAAGGGUGCCAUAAGCCUGCCGAUUCCAAGGUUCAUCAUUAACCUUUAUGGAAAGGUGCCAUAGGCCUACCGAAUCCAAGGUUCAUUACUUAUCAUUAAUGGAAGGGUGCCAUUAGCCUACCGAUCCAAGGUUCAUUAUAAGCAUGUGUGGAAGGGUGCCAUAAGCCUACCGAUCCAAGGAUGUCAAAUUGAGAAAUAAUCUUUCAAUAGUAACACAUUUACAUUCAUAACAUGAUCACAUUAUCUUCAUUGAACUCUCAUUCAUACAAUGUCAUGAUAACACUUCAAUUUCUCAUACUAUGCCUUCAAGGCCAUGGUCACAAUACAUUCCAUAAUUAAACACCUCCACCAUAAGUGGAUCAAACCAAGCAAGAACAAUUUUUUAUCCAUAAUAUGAGAUUAAGCCAACUUACCAUCCUCCAAAGCCAUAAUCAACAACACUCAAGUCCCAACCAUUUUUCUUACCACAAGAGAAUUCAUCCAUAACUUGCCCGUAAGGCCACAACUUUCAAUUCAUCCAUACAUCAUCAAUUCAUCAUAGAUAGAUGUAGAACAACAAUCCUCAAUUCAUCCAUAUACCAACAAUUCAUCAUAAAUAGAUAUACAAAACCAUAUAAAUCAACAAUACAAUCCGAUCUAAACACAAUUUCAUCAACAUUAAAUCAUAGGCAUUAAACCCACUUCAUAAGCAAAUUCUAGGCUUUUAAUGAAAACAUGGGUUCUUGAAGAAGUUUCAUAUAAAAUCAUCUUAAAAUCAUAAAUAGAACUUCAAUUCACCAAUAUAAUGACUUUGAAAACAUUUUUCCCAUGAACCCAUACCUAGAAUAGAAAAUAGAAGUUUUGUUCUUUGAAGACUUUUGAAACCCUUUUUAAUGGACUCCUUGAAUGAAAGAUAAUCAAGGAUCAAGGGUCACCAUACCUUUGUUAAGAUUCCCCAAGAAAAUUGAUGAAGAAACCACCUUCAAUCCAAGUCCUAGCUCCAAGUUCUUGACCUUCUUAAAAUGGAGGAUUGUAGAGAGAAAAGUAUUUGAGAGGAGGUGAGUUCUUUUUAAUUCUAAUUAGAGUGACUUAAAAUGGAAGAAUUUGGUCUAGAAGGGUUUUAUAAUUGCUAGGAAAGGCAUAUAAUAAAAGGGGCUCAACUUAGGAAAAGAAAUAAGGACCCAUUUAAAAGUUUCCACUAAACCCGUCUAAGCUCGUCCUUGCUGACAGUGCUUCACUAUUUUGGGCAUAACUUUUUACUCCGAGAUCGGAAAAGGGAAAACUCGGUGGCGUUGGAAAGAGGACUCAGAGACCUUUAAUUGGAUAGGUAAUGUCCCACCUAAUUCGUUUUGAUCUAAAAGAUAUGACCAUUUAAAGUUGACCCUCACUCCUAACUUAAAACUAAAAAACUGUUUUUAGGGGACUGUUUUGAGGGUCUCGGUUCUAAAUGAUUUCAUGACCUAGCUUAAGGUCUUGCUAGCUUAUAAAGGUGAUUAAUCAACUAGCUAAUCAACCCCUUAAGUCCUUUAACAACACUCCAAACUUCAACAACAAGACCCUUACAACUCACUAGUUCGAACGACUAGUUUCCGGACGUCACGGUCAUUUCUCAUCAUUUCAUCAAGUUCUCAACUCCAAAUUCAUAUGUGAGGCUCUAGUUUCACUAGUUCGUUUUUAGGGUCGUUACAGUAUGAAAAAGUCAGUAUACUCAAUUUUUUUAUGCACUGUAUUCAUUAUGGUAACGAUCCUGAGACAAAUGUUUAUGAUGCUUGGUUUAAGAUCUUAGCUAACCAUAAACGUUUUGUGCUUAUCCAUGAGAUCGAGAAAGGUAUUCUCUCACAUUAAAGUAUCUAAGAAAAGUUGUGAGUUCAACUGUUAAGACCAACAAUCUCUAUGGUGUUUCAUGCACUUUCACGGUAAAUUUUAUUUAUUACUCCCUUCGUCCCAUUUUAUGUGAGGUAGUUUUACUCGGCAUGGAGUUUAAGAAAGAAAGGAAGACUUUUAAAACUUGUUGUCCAAAAUGAAUGAUAGAAAUUUGUGUGACUGUAAAUCAUUUCAUUAAGGAUAAAAUAGAUAUUUUAUAGUUAAAUUGUUACUUAAUAUAGAAAUGUGUCAUUCUUUUUGGGACUGACUAAAAAGGAAAGUAAGUCACAUAAAUUGGGACAGAGAGAGUAUUUUUUUACUAUUAAAAUAUUUAUAUUUUAUUUAUUGUCUCUCUGAUCAUUUAUGAUAUUAUUUUAUUUACACUCCGAUAUUUGAAGUCAUUCCUUACAUUCAGAAACAAUUUAAGGAUUUUGAUGAAGAAGUGUCGUCUCCAAGGAUUCUUAGAUGGUUGAUGAUGAUCAAUAACAAUAAAAUUGAGACUCGUGAAUUAUUGGAUCUCCCAAAAAGACUCGGUAAGACGCAUUCUAUUACUGUUGUUGUUUGCAUAAGUUGCUGUAAUUAUUUAGCAUUUGCUAAAAUAUCUUAAGAACUCUUGAAAUUGACUGUUAAAACUUAUCUGACGAUUGCAGUUGUUUGCAACAGUUAUUGCACGUGCUUCAACAUUUGUUGAAACUAUACAACAACUUUGGGGUGUCAAAAGAAUAUGAAAAAUCGACCAAAUCGAACCAAUUUUAAUCGAUUUAUGUCAUUUUAAAGUAAAACUAUGGACUUUUAUUUAAGUGCAUAAUUGUCCUGAACAAUUAGGAUGGUCUUUUUAAUUUAUGAAAAAAUUGUCAACAUUUCGAACUAAACUGAAUAACCUUACGUGUAUGUUAAUAUAUUUUAUAUAUUAACAAUACGUUAAAUUUAAUAUAUAAAUAUAUUUUAUAACAUAUGUUAAAUAUAAAUAUAACAUAGGCCCUACGCCACAAGUGACUGGAUGACUUUGGAUAUUUUCUCUUUAAUUAAUCUUUAAUUAAUUAGGUUUAAAAUUAUUCGAUUCUAUAAUAGAUACUCUAUCAAACAACUUCCUCAUUCUUCUCCAAUUAUCACACUAAAUUUAUUCUUUACUUUCAAAAGAAAUAAUCAUAAAUUUGAUUUUUUUUAAUAACUUCCCAUAUCAUUUUAAUACUACAUAGUCUUAUUCUUUGUAAAUCAAAACAAUAGAAAGAAAGAACUAACACUUUAUAGUGGCUGCCAUUUCCACAAUUCACAAAUUGACCGUCGAUCAUGGUAUGUUGAGCUCCUUCAAGAAAUAAGAUUUAAUUCUUAUUUCACUUUAUAGUGGCUGUCAUUUCCACAAUUCACAAAUUGACCGCCGAUCUUUGGUAUGUUGAGCUCCUUCAAGAAAUAAGAUUUAAUUCUUAUUUGUUCGAUUUUGUAACAAUAUUUACUGAUUUAAAGGAUCAAAUCAUACAAAUAUAUUCUAAUAAAUUCAUUUAUACAAACGAAUCAAAAUAUUGAUUUUUCAAGUUGAUACAGUAAAUUAUCUCUUGCAAUGAUUGAUAAAUUUUAUAUUGACCUGUAGAUAGGGGUGUACAAGUCAAACCGUAAAAUCAAACCAAACCGACGAACCGAAUCAAACUGGAAAAAAAUCGAUUUGUGGUUUGGUUUGGUUGGUUUGGCAGUUGAAAAAAAAAUGACCACUCUUGGUUUGGUUUGGUAUUAAAAGAAAAUAAGUCAAACCAUUCAUUCAAUAUAAUUUUAUUUUAUUUAUAGAUAAAAAAAUGUUAUUUAUAAUCUACUUUGUUAAUAUAUUUUUAGUUAGUUUAUAGUUUUCAAUGUUUAUAUAUUUUAUUUCAAAUUUGGGCUUGUAAAAUUUGUAAAUAUUUUAUUUUGUAUUAAGGUCCGAAGUUAUAAUUAUAUUGUUAUAGUUUUUCAAAUUCGAAGUUAACAAUUUACUUUGUAAAUAUUUUGUUUUGUAUUCAGUUUGACUAUAUCCUUUAAUCUUAUUAAUAUAACAUAAUUAACGUUGAUAUUUCAAAAAAAAAUAUUUUGUACUCAUGUGAAUUUUAACCGUCUUUACGAAAAUUUCUAUUCAUUUAACAUUUCUUAAGUUUAGCUUAUCACACAGGUAAGUGAAAAUAUAUUUGAUCUCUUUUUCAAACACCGUAUAGUUGUAAAACAACCGAAAAAACCGAAAGAAUCGAUUAAAACCGAAACCGAAAAAACCAACUUUGCGUGGUUUGAUUUUUUUUUAGAUUUAAUAAACCGACAUAAUUGGUUUAGGUUUUUUUUAAUGAAAAACCAAACCAAACCGACCUAUGUACACCCCUACCUGUAGAUAUGUUCUCUCCUCUCAUGCCUAAUUUUAUACUUUUUUUUAUUAAUUUAUUGCAAUAAGCUCUUCAUAAUUGUUAUAAUAUUUCAUUUGCUAUUACAACAAUAAAUAUAUUCUUUAUGUUUAAACUUUUCAUUUUUCUCUUUAAUGCCAUGUUAAUAGAUGAAUAGGAGGAAUUUAAUACAUAUUUUUAAUGUAAAAAAAUAAAGGAAAAAUUCAGAAUAUUUGAAUUUUUCAUUAUCCUCUUUAAUUGCAUGUUAAUAAAUGAAUAGGAGGAAUUUAAUAUAAUUUUUUAUGUAAAGAAAUGAAGGAAAAAAUUAAAAAUUGAGAAAAAAGAAUAAAUAGAUAUAUUGAUCAUAGAGAGGUGUCACAUCACAUUCUUUAUGUUUAGCUUUAUAAUAUAUAUAUAUAUAUAUAUAUAUAUUUGAAAAGAAUUUAGGUAAAAAAAUUAAUGUGAAAAAAAUUUGACUCAUGUGAGAUAGAUCAGUUUUCAUCAAUGAUUUGUUAGACAUAUUUUGUAGUUUUCAAUUUUUCUUAUAUGGAGUAGGUAAUAGGAUAAAGAAUGAAACACAAAAAAGAGAGGGCACAUCGGUGGAUCUGCUAGAACCAGAACCAGGACAUGUGCCGCCUGCUAUUCAAGUAGCUCCCCGGGGGAACGAAGCUGGUCCAUCGAAUCAGCCCCCACAAGUGGUCCCCUAUCCUUAUCAAUUGGAUACACUAGAAGUUUUCCUUCAUCCUUUGGGAAUCAAGUCAUUCAAUGAAUGAAAAGUGAAAAACCUGUAGAUAAAUGCUUUAUACAGAUGACGAUAAGACUUUCCAAUCAGUAGCUGGGCUAGGGCAACCUGGGUGAAGGAUAUGUAGGAAUGUUGCAUUUUCCCUUUUCUUUUUUUCUUUUUUCUCUUUUUCCUUUUUUUCUUCUUUGCUUCACUCUUUUCCCUCUAGGCCCUACUCGAUAACUUUCCAUCACCAUUUUUUUUCUUCUCCUCUUGAUCAACCUUUAUAAAAAUAUUUUAAUUUUUUUUACAUAUUACACAAUUUUUAUAAUUUGUCUACAAAGAAUGAAAUAAAGAGGAAUUAUUCUUCAAAUUGUAUAUUAAGAUAAAAUAAUGUCACGAUCCAAAAUUGAAGUCAUAAUGGCACCUACUAAAACUCACCAAUAGGUAAGCCUAACCCUUAGCCCGAAACCAACGAUAACCGAUAACAGUCCUAGGAAGCAGAAGAGGUAGAAAGAAACAAUUAAACCCUUUCACGAAAAAACAAUUAAAGCCUUUCAGGAAGAAACAAUUGAAGCCUUACAGGAAGAAACAACAAAUCUCGAGAUAAAACUAGUGGAUGCCAGUAUAUAUAUAUAUAUAUAUAUACCACCAAAAACCUGGUGGAUGUACUAUAAAGCUACUACAAAAUAGAGUAGAGACUAAACAUAUACAACAAACAGUUGCCACGAGAUACAAAUACUAACCAAAACAUAUACAUACAGAUGGAGAUGGUUCGAUUCUGAUCGGCAAUAAGCUUAUCCUCUGUCUCCGAAAUAUUAACAUCAACAACACAAGGAUCACCGGGGGUGAUUGGAGAUCAAAUCUAUAUUGGGGAACAAGAUGCAGAGUGCAAUAUGAGUACCAAAACAACAUGUACUCAGUAGAUAGUAGACAUCAUAGGCUGAUCAAGCUUGCAAUUGUAAUAACAGGAUAAAAGGCGAGUACAGUAAGGUAACAUGACAAAAAUAAAGGCAUAACUAGAUAUGCAUUGAAGUAAAUCUACUAAAGCAAUUUAUGAAGCAAUAAAAGAUAUCUACACCUACCUGGACCCCCAUAAUCUUAGAAGGCACAUACAAAGACAUUACAACACAAAAAUAAAUAAACAAUAACCUGAACGAACCCCCAUAAGCUCAACAGGUACACUCAAAGGUUAUGUUACCAAAUAGAAUUAUGAAAUGAACCCCAACACCUCGAACAUAGCAUCUUCCAAAAUCUUACAUUGGAAUAGCCAGUCCUUUUUGAAAUAUUAUAUUAGAAAGCCUUAUCGGAACAUAACAUGCUCCAGAACCUUAUAUCGGAAUGACUAUUCCUCUUUGGAAUAUUACGUCAGAAAUCCUUGAUAGAUUCUAACAUAUCCCAGAAUCUGACAUCGAGAUAUCUAGUCCUUCCUAGAAUCUUACGUCGAAAAACCUUAUAAGAACCCAAUAGUUCCUAGAAUCUUACAUCGGAGAGGCCGGUCCCACCCUGAAUCUUAUGUCGAAAUGGCCACAACAAUACCUAACAACUUUCGAAAUCUUACAUUGGAUCAGUUGUAUAAAUUUCUAUCCUACCCCGGAAUUCGACAUCGGAAUAGCCAACACACUAGCUACCCACCCCCACGUAGUCUCACCUUGGGUCAACUAUAAUUAUACAAGGAACAAAAGGGUCCUAAAUGAGUCUAGGUACACUAACCACAACCAACCAACUAAAGUUACUAAAUGGGCUACCCCAAGGUCACAACCUAGCCUGUAGGGUGGUAUCUAAGCCAAAUAAAAUCUUGAAACAAGCUCCGCGGGCUCCAAAAACCAUCUUUUUUAGCAACACUAGCCAAGCAUAGGCAAAGGCUUCUCAACAACAACACUAAGGAAAUUUCAGCCUAAUAUCAGCUCACAUGCAUAAACAGAUAUCAACAAGUCAUGCAAAACUAAAGAAUCACCUGAAAUAACUAAAAUAAGGCCAAAACAAUACAAGUAAAGAACAUAACAUGGAAUCAUGUUGGAAACCCAACCCACACUUACCUAAUUAGCAUGCUUAAAAAAUUAUAAACAAAGUCUAAGGAGAGUAGGUCGUAGCCUACCUCAAAUUCGAUAAUGUGCACUCCAAAACCUUUAAAUUGUAGUCUUUUCCUUCUAAGCCGCCUUCGAAUGGUGCAACACCAUCAUAUUAAUGAUUCCAGCGUAAAUACGGUCGCUUAAACACCCAAUUAACAAUAAUAAAAAUGGAUCAAAAAUUGAGACAAAAAUGGCAUUAUUAAACUCGCAGAAGGAAUUUCAAAACUUCUUCUGCCAAAGGGUUUCAACAAACUCAAAGGACUUAAGCCCUGAAAACAGGCAGCAUCCAAGUUUUGAAAUGCCUCGAAACAAGUCAUGCAUUCAAACUGAGAGUUCACGAUAAAUAAUCAAAAUGAAAGAGAUCGAGGGAAACUUAUUAGUCUAAUGCGACCAUCACGACUCUACCAAAACCCCAGAACACUCUCCUAACAAUUUCUAACAACAACCAACAAUUUUCAUUGCAAUUCGAGUUCAUAAAAUCUCACAAUUAAGGGAAAAGUAGUGAAAUGAAAGUUGAAAAUGGAUUAUAACUACCAGCGAUGGCAGUUAAAACAGUCACUUUGGUUGCUUAAAUGGUACCGCUAAAAUGAUCCACUAAAGCAGCUUGGCCUGGAUGGUGGGCUCUGCUAAAGCGGUACCCUGGCUGCUAAAGUGACCAUUGCUUAAGUGAUGCUAGGGCUACUAAAGCGGCUAGCCCUUUGUUGGCAGGGCUUUUUAAAGUUGCUCCUUAGCCAUAUAAGCGAACAACGCUUAAGUGGUGCCCAGUGUCAUUACCCACCACCUUACCCUUCAAAUUUUGCACUAGAAGAGGGGAGGAAGAACCUAGAGUUGUGGAGAGGUUAGUGGAACACUCUAGAUUUCCCUAGACCUUUCCUUAGAAGACUCUAGAAACCCCUUAGAUAUUUUAAGAAUACUUUGGAAUAUCCUAGAGUAUAUAGAGAAUUCUAGAGAGGGACCAAAGUGUUAAAUACUUUAGGGAGUUGUAAAGUAAUUCUAAAUUACACUUUGUCCACUAGGCUGUAGUAUAAAUAGAUGGGGCAUUCAUUUGCAAAGCAUCACACAAGUUGUAAAGCAUUCUCCAAGAAAUACAAGCCUUCUUCCAAAAUUCUCUAAGUCUUUCUUUACACUCUCUUAGCGAUCUUAAGUUCAAAAGGCUUACUUGAGCUUACAAAAUCUUUAAAGAGUAGUGAGUAAGUUGUCAAGUGCUGCACGGAGCUUUAGUGAGACUCUGUCAUGACCCGAGAGCACCCCCUAGUCGUAACAUGGCAUACUUGACCGCGAAGGGAUCGCAUGCAAGCCCUUAGCAUUAUCAUAUCAUAAGAUCGUAGAAAGGUAGGGAGAAUUUAAAACUUUAUUUAAAGCAUAAUGCCAAAAAUAUUUCAUAAAAACGGAAGUCUUUCUAACAUCUUUGUCUCAAACCAUCUAUGAAUAACAUGAAUAAAAGUCUUGGGACACAGCCCACAAAAAAAGUCUAAAACAUAAGAAAAGACAUAAAUGAAACAUAAGGGGUUUGUCCUCGAAGCUAUGAGGACUCACCAAUCUUCAAUCUUCUUGUACUUAGGAGCCUAGCCUCCAAGCAACUCAAUCUCCCAACACCCUACAUUUGAUUAGAAUGUAGGCAAUAUGCGUUGGUACAAAAUGUACCAAGUAUGAAAGCUAAAAUACCAACAUAAAACAUCUCAAAGGGGUUAGUCAACAUAAGACAUAAUCAUAAGAGACAAUAACAUAAUCAUAACAUAAACUCCAACACAAGCAUCAUAUCAUAACAAUUCAUCAUAAGACGUACAUAAGUUCAUACUUCAACCCUUAGUCUUUCAUAUUCAAGUGAACUACUUCACAAGCCACCUCCAAGUAUACUUGUACAAGGCCAAGAUAGCAUCCCAUAAUACUAUCUAAGCUAAGUACCUUCUCUUUGGUCAUUCUUGGUCAUAGUCCACCUUCAUAGUUAAGACCUAGGUUUUCAUGACAUAAGAGCACUAAACCCCUAAGUAACCCCAAGGCACACUUGUGCAAUGCAUGUGGGGCAUCCCAUAAUACCACACACACUAAGCAUAUCUUGAAGCCACCCUAAUCAUAUUUACCAUUUCUAGGUGUCACUAUAGACCGACUUCAUAUUGGCAAGGAACUUAUCAACUUAAGUCAAUCAUAUCAUGGAAGGCAACUAUAGCAACAAUCCAAGCUAGGCAUACAUCACAUAAGAUCACACUUCAUAAGUAGCUUCAAGUCAUACUUGUGCCAUGUAUGAAUGACAUCCCAUACUACCACUCACACUAAGUACUCAUUUAGGCUAGCUUACUCAAUGCUAAUUAUUUAUCAUUCUAGACUAUCAAAGUAUAACAUACUAUCAUGCUAGACCUAACCACCAUGGAAAACAUCCUAUCAUACAAUCCAAGCUAUCAAAGGAAGGAUACAAGUAUACCAACCUAGCCACCAUGCAACCAUUCAAUAAGAUGCAAGCUAUCCUUAGGGGAGUGUGAAUCCUCAACCCUAAGCUAUCCUUAGGAGAGUAUGAUGUCUCAAUCCUAAGCUACCAUGAAAUGGUCUUGGCCUAACCAAGUCAAGCUACCAUGAAAUGCAUUCUAACAAUGCUAGUUCAAGCUACCCAUUGGAGAGUAUAGAUCCUCAAUCCUAGGCUACCAUGCCUAUACUAAUGCAAGCUACCAUAAAAAGCAUCCUACCAAUGCUAGUUCAAGCUAACCUUAGGAGAGCUAAUUCCUCAAUCCCAAGCUACCAUGGGAUCUACCAUCCCAAGCUACAUAAUUCAACUAUCCAAGAAGGAAUCAUAAGACUCAACCUCAAGCUAUUCUAUGCUAACGAGCACAAUCAACAAACUAGUCUAGAUCACAAUACACAUCAUUCAUAAGCCUUAAUCAUAGACAAUUCUAAGCAUAAUUCAUCAUAGAGUCCCAAUUCUAAUCAUUCAAUUCAUAUUAUAUCAUACAUGCAUAAGCCUAGUUCAAUUCAUGAUUUCAAAUUCCCAUUCUUGGAUAAGUUCUAUACAUGGUGAUAACUCUAGAAAAUCUAUCAAGAACCAUCAAUUUCUCAUCAAAAGAUCUAAACCCACAUACUUAGAAAAUUAGGGUUAGACAAGGAAUUCACAUAAAUUCUUCAUAAUAUCAUGAAUCAAUACUAAAUUAAUCAUAUAUGAGUAGUAUCCAACACUUUGGAAUCGUACCCACCGAAAACCCAUACAUUGGAAGUAACCCUAGCUUAAAUUGGGGUUCUUCUUCACAAAUCUUCUGGGUUUCUAGGGGACUCUAUGGGUGGAAGAACCCAUAGAUGAAAAUCUAAACAUACCUUAAACAAAUCCCUAGCAGAAGCCUUAAGCAAUGGAGCCUUGGAUCUUGACCUUAGCUUCAACCCUAGCUUCUUCUUCAAUGGAGGUUCUUCUUAGAGAGAGAAAUAUUUGAAAGAGGAGUGAUUUGGGUUUUUGAAUUGAGUCUAAUGUAAAGUUGCUUAAACUUGGGGUCUAAGGACUUAAAAUAGUCUUUGUAUGUGAAUAAAAGACAUACAAAACGACCCCCACUUAAACCUAGUCGAAUAGGAUUUUACCCAAAUGUCCCUCACUUGGCAGCCCCAUCCCAGGCACCACAGCCACUUGGACGGUCCGUGAAGGGCACCACGGUCCGUGGUGGUGCCCGUGGUCCCUUGAACAGUAGCUCCACCAACUUGCCAAGACCCUAAAACACCCUAAAACACUAAGGCACCUUCACAGGCACUUUGACGGGUCGUGGUCAAGCAAACGGCUCGUGAAGUUCCUUGUGAACUUGGGGCAAAGUCUUGGCCUGGCCUCCCAAGUGUCUAAGGCAUCUCCAAGGACCCCUUCACGGACCGUGGUCCACACCACUAGUCGUGAAGGUGGUCGUGAACCUUGGGCAGUAGCUGCCAAGGUUGGGCAGCCUUGGCCCCUUGGCAUAGGCUUUCCCUUUUGCCUGGGUAGUUGCCCUUCCCAUGCACACCCAAACUCUUAAAGGUCAUCUAGGCUACUAGGUCUAAUACAUAUCUUGAUGUUCAACCAUUAAACUCUUCAUUCUAAACACAUAAAAUCUCAUCUACAACUCUAUUUCCCAUACAUCAAGUCUUAGAACCCUAGCUUGUGGCUCUAGUUUAGUCUACAAAUUUUCGGGGCAUUACAGACUCUAAGUCUGUGACACCAGGGUCGCUUAGGCGGCUACACCAACAUCAGACACCAAAAAAUUUAGCCAAGUCCUAGUGGACUUUGCUUGGGUUCUUGGGAUUGGUUCGAAAACUCGUGCAUACACACGAACUAUGCUACCCUUCUAAAUUCGGCAUUCCAAACUCAAUGUAGAUGUCAAAACUUCAAACAGAGGUAUAGGGCUAGGCGUUUCGUCGGUUUGGUUCGGUUUGUAAAUUUUGGUUCGGUUUUUCAGUUUUCGGUUUGGCCAAAUGUGAAACCAAACCAAAAUGAAAUAAAUUCGAUUUGGUUAGGUUAUUAUAAUUUCGGUUCGGCUUAUUUUGGUUUGGUUUUCGGUUUAACCAAAUUUAAUUAACAGUGGCAUGUGGCAUAUGGAUAAUUUUAGUAAAUUGAAAAAAAAAAGCUUCAGAAAUGCAGGAAAUGAAAAAAAAAGGCAUCAGAACAAGUGCAGACUUCAGAUGUGUAGGUAUUUAACAUUGUCAUAUUCUUUUGCAUAUUCUCAUCUCUGCAGGAACUGAACAAGUGCAUAUUCUCAUCUCUUGUGAGCACAAUUCAACAAGUGCAGGACACAACUCACAAGUCUGUCACAACUUACAACUUUUGUAAGCACAACAAGUGCAUAUUCUCAUCUCUUUACAAGCAGGUCACAAGUCACAACUCACAAGCCUUUUACUUUCACAACUCACAGAAAAGCAGAAAUGGAAAGCAGUUUGACCAAUGUUGCCGCAAGCAUUUGUUGCCAAGGAGCAGACAAAUUUCAACAAACAUUUAACUUGCAACUUCCAAUAUCAUUGACUAAAAUAUCCAAACAAAACUGAUAAUUCUUGUCCAAGCAGUCCAGCAGGCAGCAACAUUAACAAACUAGUCGAGAAUAAGAAUAAAAAGACUAUCAAGAGUCAAGAUAACAACACUAGAAAAUUCAACAAACUUGUGCCCAACCCUAAAAUAUAGUUAGUUACAAACUACAGUUGCCAGUAGGCAACAUUGCAAUUUGCAGCAACCAAAAGAUUUAGAAAACCAACAAAACAUUGUUGUGCAACCUCCAGUGCAAUAGCUCCCAAGUUCCAAGUUCCAAUAGAUAGCAACCAAGAAAAUAACAAAACAUUGAUGUGCCUGCGAGAAAAUAGAACUCUUUAGACAAAUGAUCUACAUUUCAUAAUAAAAUAUAUAAAACUAUCAAGAAAGUUUUUGUAAAUAAGUUCUUUACUUACCCAUUACCACGCAUCACUAGUUGAUAGUUGAACUUACAAAUUGCAACUAUAUAUCAAUAAUACUAGAUUCAGUCCCACUACAAGCAAAAUCUAAAAGAAUAUGAAAGAAUUUGUUAGUUGUUAAGAAACAUAAGAAAGAAAAUUAUUUUCAAGAUAAUUAAUACAAAUACCAAAUUCUUACCAAGUUUAAGUUGCUGAGGAUACUCUAAAUCUUCCUCAAUAUUGAUUGGAAAAGGCUCACUUCUAAGCCAAUCUUGAACACAAAUAAGAGAUUGCGCAAGUUUAGGAGUUAAUGAACUCCUAAAGGGAUCAAGAAAACGACCUCAUGUGCUGAAUGCACAUUCUGAUGCGACGCUUGAAAUGGGAAUGGCUAACACAUCACGAACCAUCUCCGCGAGAAUAGAAAUCUCUGCUCAUUAACUUUCCACCACAUUAAUAUAUCAAAUUCAUCACUAUUUGGCUCAAUAUCUUCAGCAAGAUAUCUUUCCAAUUCUGAUUUACUACCUGAACUUCCACUAACUUCUUUAUGCUUCUCAAAUUGUUGUUUCGUUCUCAUUCUUCCUCUAUUUACAAAGUUGUCACAACCACUCACACUAGAUAUACUUGAUGAGUUGUCAGAUGAAUUGGGUGAAGAUGGUACAUGUGAAGAGCUUUUUGAGGAUUUCUUAACAUAAUAAUCAAACAAGUUUUUCAUGUAUUUUUCACUUCUGAACAUAGCUUGUCCCCUACUUCUUUUCCAAACAUAUCCACAAUUGCAAAUGGAACAUAAUCAAGCUUGUUACGGGGAUCCAACACUGAUGAAAUAAAGAUCAUCUUGUUCAUUUUAUGUGGUUCACCCCAAUACUUUUUGAACUUUUCCUUCAUACUUUUUGCCAUUUCUUUCAAAUUACCAUCUUCAUUUUCCAUCAUCUCUUUCAAAAUAAGAUUAAGUUCAGCAAUUUCAACAAAGUGUGUAUUGCUAGUGACAUAAUUAGAACCAGAGACCUUCAAAGUAAGUACAUAAAAAGUUUCAAGAAAUUUCACCAUUGACCUCACAUUUUUCCAGUCAGCACUUUUCCAGUCAGCACUUGUAAGAAUAUUUGCACUAGUUCUAUCUUCAUCUUCAGAAGAAAUAGAACAAAAGGUACGAAGAUGAUUCAAGUAUCCAAUAUCAUAAAAACUAUAUCUUUCAAAUGUAAGCUCAUAAUGUUGUGCUACAUCAAGCAUCGAAUAUGUAGAGUUCCACCUAGUGGGAACAUCUAAACACAAUGAUUUCUUACAAGCUAUCAAUUGAGAUUCACAACAUUCUUUGAACUUUCUAAGUCUUGCGGGAGAUUGUUUAAUGUACUUCAUGGCUUGUCUCACUAGCUUGACAGACUUACCAAUUUCCUUCAACCCAUCUUGCAUAAUAAGAUUAAGGAUAUGUGCCAUACACCUCACAUGAAAAUGGUCACCAUCCAUAAUGUUAAUUCCCCAAUUACUCAAUUGUUUAUACAUUUCUUUCACAGUAACAUCAUUAGAACUAGCAUUAUCAACUGUAAUAGUAAACACAUUAUCCAAACCCCAUUCAAGCAAACAAUUAGUAAUGCAAGAUGCCAUAUCCCCACCUUUAUGACUAGAAAUAGGACAAAAAUUUAUUAUUCUUUUAUGCAAAGUCCAAUUUCUAUCUAUAAAGUGGGUUGUCAACCACAUGUAGUUGAUUUUUUGUAUAGAGGUCCAAGUAUCUGUCGUAAGACAAACUCUGGGACGUGCUUCUUUGAAAACCUUCUUAAAAAGUUGUCUUUCUUCAAGCUAUAGUUCAUAACAAUCUCUCGUCACGGUUCUACGAGAAGGAAUAUGAAAUUGUGGCACUGUAACUCUCAUGAAGUUUUUAAAACCCUCUUUCUCAACAAAACUAAACGGUAGAUCGUCAACAAUUAUCAUUUUGGCUAAAGCUCUCCUACUUUGUGCUUGGUCAAAUUUCCAAGUGCUAAUCACCCCUUCCUUUGCUCUUGUUGAAGAUGGUAGAAAAUUAAUUAGAUUUUGACCUUUAUCUACGGUGUCACGAGGAAAUUUAGGACAUAUUCUCAUAUGAUUAUUCUUUGACGAUGUACCAUUAGUCGAUGUAGAAGCUGCAUAAGGUUUCUCACAAUACUUGCAUUUGGCUUUCUUAGCUCCACUUUCAUCAGUGAACUUGUCAAAAUGCUUCCAACAAAUAGCUCUAGGUUCCAUGUUUUUUCUUUUAUUUGAAGUAUCAACAUCAACUUCAACCUCAUUGGGAGAUGAGGUGUUAGGUAUGCUGUCAUUUGAACCUCCACUUUCACUUAUCUUACUUCCAAUUUGUGUCAAUACUAGUAAAAAAAGUAGAAAAAAAACAAGAAAUAACAACAAUCAGAAAGACGCAGUACAUUACAGUUCACAAAUAAUCACAAAGUUGCAUACUUGCAUUCAAUGAUUAAACUCAUGCAGUUCAGUUGCGGUUCAGAACUCAAAAGAACAAUAAUCACGUAGUACAUUACAGACUUACAGUUCACUAACCGACUCACUGAUCAGUCCCUAACUAACAUACACUUAAACAUAAUAGGCAGAACUUUCAUGGACCAUGGUAGAGGAUCAGGAUACUACCAACUUGACUAACAAUAAGCAGAGGCAUAAUAAUAUUAUUUCACAUUAAUCCCCAAUGUACAAGUCCCCGUAGUUUAUACUACAAUCAAGCAACUAAACUGCUAACUUCUAAGUGCUAAGAUAUUGUUCCAUAUGAACUCUUUGUUAUUGAUCAACACUCAAUUGUCUUUUCCAGUGAUUUGAGCAAUCACUGGAAGAUGUUGCGGGCGUUUUGUCGAACACAUUUGUUCUCACCCAAAGUGGUAAAGUCACUAGUCAGUGGUCACAGACUGCAAUGAGGGAGAAAAAAGUGUCGGAAAUGAUACAUUUUCUUAGGUCCAAGAAAGGGGAAACUGUGAAAAUUUCUGAAAUUUUGUUUGGUACCAUUUUAAACAUGUUACGGAACCUUUUCUUUUCAAAAGAUUUAUGUGAUUUGAAUUAUGAACGAACACUAGUGGGAUCAAACGUGUUUUAACUUUUUCAUUCCCCUAUAACUAAAUAAAGAUAUGUUGUUACAUACUUACAUUUACAGGGUAUGACAAAUUGAUCAACUUACAAGUACACUGUAUACCCUUCAAUACUAACUACUCAAGUACUCAUCUUGUAUUUAAAAUUGAAUAUAGCAUAAUAAAGAUUUCUAGAUGAAGUUAAGACUUAAGUCGCGAUGAGCAGUGGCCAAUGAGCAGUGAGCACUGACCUUCGACUAUUGAGUCGCGAGCACUAAGCAGACAACAGUUGUGGGUUGCGAGUACUUAGCGUCAUCGAGGAUCCAGGAGCAGCGGCAGGCUUGAGACGACGAGUUGAGAGAUGAGAGUUGAGAGACGAGCUCGUAGAUGCGGCGUAACUGAGAGUCUAAGAUGAGAGUUGAAACUUAUGGACUACGGUGGUCACAUAUUAGGGAUUUCUAAAUUCAGAUUGGAAUUUGGGCUGGGCAUGGGAUAUUGGGCUGAGAGUUGUAUUUUUAUAAAAGGAAUGGGUUGAGAUUUAAUGAAGGGGUAAAGAAUAUAUAUAUCUAAUUUUGAUUUUUCCGGUUAACCGAUUUUUUAAGCUAAAAAAUUGAAAACCGAAUCGAAAAACUAAAAUAUUGAAAAUCAAAAUCGAAACCGACCGAAAUAACCAAAAAACCAAAACCAAAACUGAAAUUUAAAAAAAAUCGGUUCGGUUUGGUCGGUUUUUUUGGCUUUAACCAUAUUAUGCCCAACCCUACAGAGGUAGGUUCCAUACCCAAGGAUCUAUUUUAGACAAAAUCCACAAGAUAGCUCAAAUUGAGCUCGAAAGUGUCGGGACCCAAACCACGGGUCUUUCUAGACCAAAUCAAUGUUCCAGAGAUAACGUAACCAUCAAAAUUGCUUUUUGAAACCGUUUGUCUAAAGUUGUGAACAAAGUCAAACGUUUUAAAUUUCAAAAGCUCCAAAACAUAAAAAUCACAUAAAACCAAAUGAACGACCAGGUGACUGAACUAUUAGCCCUAGCAAGUCAUAAAUGACUUAGGGUCUCUAUAUGAACGCUCUAAACGUCGAAAAAAUAUCACAAAAUAGUAAAAAUGUCCUAGAGGGUCAUUACAACAUCCACUACUAAAAGAAAUUUUGUCCUUGAAAGUAAAGAGUGAAGAAGUACCUUAAGUCUUGAACAUGUGGGGAUACUUGCCCGCAAGUCAUGCUGAGUCUUCCAGGUAGCUUCCUCAAUCGGACAGGGCCUCUGCUAGACCUUAACCGUAUGUAUUUCUCUCAAAUGCAAUUAUCUGACAUCUCUAGCCAAAAUAGCAACUAACUCUUACACAAAGGUCAAAUGGUCAUUUAACUAGACUACGUCAUAUGGAAGCACAUGGGAAACAUCAAGAACUACCGGAGAAGCGUAGAUAUAUGGAAAACUAGAUGAACAACCGAAUAAGUUAGUGGAAAGGCCAAUUCAUAUGCAACAUCACCAACAACCCAAAUGAUCUUAAAAGGUCCAAUAUACAUGGGGCUAAGCUUACCCUGCCUCCUGAAUCUCAUCACACCCUUUAAGGGCGACACUCAGAGGAAGACAAGAUCACCAACACCAAACCUCAAAGGAUGAUGCAUACGGUUAGCAUAACUCUUCUACCUACUUUGAGCCUCUCGUAGCCUAUUCGAAAUAACACAACAAACUUAGGCCAAAGCAUCCUGAAGCUAAUUUGUGCCACUUGACCUAGGAUCUAAAGUCUUAAACCAACCAACAAGAGAUCAACAAUGCCUACCAUAUAAUGCCUCAAAUGUGGCCAUGUGAAUACUCGAAUGGUACAUGUUGUUAUAAGCAAACUCCACCAAAGCUAAAAAUUGAUCCUACUACCCUCUAAAAUCUAACACAAAAGCUCGAAGCAUAUCCUCCAAAACCUGAAUGGUUCAUUUCGAAUUCCCAUUGUUCUAUAGGUGAAAUGUUGUACUAAGAUCAACCCAUGUACCCAACUCCUUUUGGAAUGCUCUCCUGAAGCUAGAAAUGAACUAAUAACAUCUAUCAUAGAUAAUGGAAACCGCACCCCAUGAAGACGAACCACCUCUUAGACAUAGAUACUGCUAACCUCUCAAUACUGUAGAAAGACAUAAUAGGCAAGAAAUGAGCCGACUUGGUCAAUUGAUCCACGAUGACCCAAAUAAUAAGAACACCUCAAAAAGUCCUAGUGACCCCAUAAUGAAGUCCAUAGUGAUCCUCUCCCACUUCUUCUUAUGAAUGGGUAAUCUCUGAAACUUAUCAACAAGCCUCAAAUGCUCGGUCUUCACCUGCUGACAACACAUGUUAUGGGUUAUGUUGUCCACUAUAUCCCUCUUCAUACCACUCCACCAAUAAUGCUACCUCAAAUCUUUAUACAUCUUAGUUGUGUCUGGGUGAAUGGAAUACUUGGAGUUGUGAGCAUCCUAAAGUAUCUGAAUCAAAUCCCCAACUCUAGGAACACAAAUACGACCUCCAAAUCUUAAAACACCCUUAGAGUCUAAGGUCACCUUACCACCAUCACCACUCAGAACUUGAUUAUGGAUAGUCACCAAACCCAUAUCCUCGAACUGUCAGCCAUAAAUCUCCCUAACAAAAUGGAAUGAGCCUCAAUACAAGUGUUUCAUAAGCUAAAUGUGUGGGAAGAUGUUCCAUAGAAUCCCAGAAGCUUGGAGGAAAAAUGCGCUCAAGAUUAGUCAAGAUGAGAGGAAUAUUUCUUUCUAAUUGUCUCAUAUGUUCCUCAGUUAUUGCGGUAGAAGUGAGAUCUUUAAUAAAAAACUCAACUCUGUCAAUGGUUCCCACACAUUUCGUGGAAGCAAAUCUUGAAAUGCAAUAGGUAUGAGUUGUUGCAUAAAUACAUGACAAUCAUGACUCUUCAUACCAAAGAGUUUAAGCUUGUUCAUGUCAACACAUCUUCCCAUGUUAGACACAUAACCAUAAGGAAAUCUCAACUCUUGCAACCACUUACAAAGCACUUUUUUGGCAUUAUCAUCUAGCAUGUAACAAGCUUUUGGGUACUUUUUAGUAAUUUCAUCCUGAUGCAACUCUGGACGAUUGCAAAGUACUUUUAAAUCUUCUCUAGAUUUGGUAUUGUCCUUUGUUUUUCCCUUGACAUUCAUGAUGGUGUUAAAAAUGUUAUCGAACACAUUUGUUUCUAUGUGCAUCACAUCAAGGUUAUGCCAAAUAAGAUUUGUUUUCCAGUAAGGUAAGUCCCAAAAUAUACUUCUUUUCUUCCAACCACAUAAACUACUCUUUGAGAUUCUUGCAUUCACCUUGUCAGAACCAAGUUCUGUCACUUUCAUGAGUCCCAAAUCCUCAAUAUCUCUAAGUAUUUGUAAACCUGAUUGUUCAGUAGAUGCAACCUUAUGUACUAUUUGACCCUUCUAGAACCACUCUUUGUUUUUUCGCCAUGGAUGAUCUGGUGGUAAGAACUUUCUGUAAUUGUCAAACCAUGAGACUUUUCUACCAUUGGAUAGUGAAAAAGCAUCAGAAUCUUUCAAGCAAUAAGGACAAGCUAAUUUUCCUGCUGUACUUGAACCUGACAACAUUGAGUACGCUGGAAAAUCACUUAUUGUCCACAUCAAUGCAACUUGCAUUUGAAAAUUAUUUUUACUUGAAACAUCAUAUGUUUGGACUUCCACCUCCCAUAAUUCUUUCAACUCUUCAAUGAGGGGUUGCAAAAAGACAUCAUUUUUCUGCUUUGGAUUUUUUGGACCAUGUAUAAUCACAGAUAAAAACAUGUAUUCGUCCUUCAUGCACAUCCAAUGUGGUAAAUUAUAUGGUGUAACUAUCACAGGCCAAGAGGAAUAUUAUUGGCCUGAUUGACCAAAUGGUUGAAACCCAUCAGUAGACAAACCCAAUCUAACAUUUAUAACUUCAGAUGCAGAAUGUGGAUACGUCUGAUCAAAAUGCUUCCAAGCUGGAAAGUUUGAGGGAUGACGCAUGACACCAUCUUUUUCAUGCUCUGAAUGUUAUCUCAUAUGUUUUGUUGUUGCAUUAGAUGCAUACAACCUUUGUAGACGUGGAGUUAAAGGAAAAUAAUACAUCUUCUUAUAAGAAAUAUUAGUUUUCUUCUUGGAACGUUGAUGUUUUGAUCUCUUAAAUUGAGGAUGAGCGCAAAAUUUGCAAUUGAUUAGUUCACUGUCCUCACGCCAAUAAAGCAUACAUCCAUUUUUGCAACAAUCAAUCUUCUCGACUGGCAAGCCUAAUCCUCGCAUUAGUCUUUUUAGUACCAUAGAAGCUAUCGAUCAUUUUGUUAUCACUUGGCAUCAAUUCUGAUAUAAAUUGACAUAACUCAUCAUACAACCUUUCCGAAAAAUGAUGUUAUGCCUUAAGAUUCAACAAACGAGCAACAACAGACAAUUGUGUAUGUCCAUGUGGCUGUGGCUCACGCUAAUAAAGCAUACAUCCAUUUUUGCAACAAUCAAUCUUCUCGACUGGCAAGCCUAAUCCUCGCAUUAGUCUUUUUAGUACCAUAGAAGCUAUCGAUCAUUUUGUUAUCACUUGGCAUCAAUUUUGAUAUAAACUGACAUAACUCAUUAUACAAGCUUUCCGAAAAAUGAUGUUAUGCCUUAAGAUUCAACAAACGAGCAACAACAGACAAUUGUGUAUGUCCAUGUGGAUUUCCCAUCCAAAUCUCUUGUUCCGAUGCUUUGAGCAUAUCAUAAAUAUGUUGUGUUGUUGGAUUUGGGUCCUCUUCCACGUUACCAUUAUAAGAAGGCCCAAUAACAUCUAAAACCAUUGACCGGAAUGCAUUAUGGGAUUGAGGAUUCACGGUUUCACCAAAAGCUUCUUCUUGAUGAUCAUUAAGCACACUUGGAUUUGAAAUAUAACUUUCUCCAUGGUGAUACCAACAGUAAUGAUCUGGUACAAAGCCAUAAGUUCCUAGAUGUGUCAUAACUGUAAACUCAUCCAAAAUAUUUUUAUUUCAACACUUACAAUGAUUACAAGGACAUCUUAACUUCUCACCACCAUCCAUGCACUAUGGAUGUCUUUUAGCAAAUGCAACAAAGUUCUCAACUCCAUCAAUACACUUUGGAUUUAUGAAUCCAUCUUCCAGUAUUCUAACAUGCAUCCACUCACAAUCAGAGUUACCCAUAACAUAUACUCUGACACAAAUAAUAAAUGUGUUAAAACUUACAUGAUGACUACUAAUUUUUAUAUGACACUAGAACCUAGAGGUAGCAAAAUAUAAUGAAUUCAAAUUCAUAAACAAUCAGUUAAUCACCAAAAGUUAUAGUAGUUAUUGUUAUACAAUUUAAAUGUACACUAGAAAUAGUGUACUAUUUUAUUUUAAAUAAUACUACAUGUCAAGGUGAUCAUGUAAAAACAGAUAUGCCAAAGAUGUAUUCAAUUUAUAAGCUUCAUUCUACUCGUACGACACCAAUAUCUUUUUAAGUGAUUUAAUUACUACGAAGAAGAAACUAACCUUUAGCAAAUGUGAUAAUAUGUUUUGUAUCCUACUUGGUCACAUAAAAUAAAUGCUUUAAGAUGUAAAUUAUCCGCUUACCUAACUUAAGCAAUGAUAGAAACACCAAUGUAGAAAUCUUCUAGAAACUAAUAGACAUACACGAACUACCUAAAAAAGUUUAUAGAACAAAAGAGAAUGAGAUAAGAACUGAUGUAAAAGAGAUUAUUUUCUAAUACAUUAAAAGCACAAGUUGAUGAAGAUUCUUUUUUCUCUUUAGAAUAUACAUAAUUACAUUGUUCUUUAGGAACAAACAAAUAAAUAGGUGUUUAGUCAUUAACAAAGUGACAUUUGAAACAAAAAUAGUAUUCAUGAAGUUGAAAAAUUGUAUUGAAAAUUGAAAUUGUGUUUUAACAUGCAUUUGACUUUUAAAAAAAGAAGUUGAAGUUUUGUAAGUGAGUGAAAAAAUUCCAGUUCUUCAAAUUUGAAACAUUCACCUUCAAAAACCAACCAAAAAUUGUUCUAAUUUAUAACUAAAAAUAUUUCGGAAAAAAAACCUAAUAGGACCUAAUAAAUGCAAAAAGAGAAUGCAAUUCAUCAAAAUUGAAGGCCAACCAUACAUAUGAACCUUAGGUCAUCAAUGACAACUCCAAAUUUGUUUACUGUCCAAGAAAAACAUAAAAAAAUAAAAAAUUGAAAGAAUAACAACAUUAUAGAGAAGAUACCAAUCAUCAAAAAAGUUGUGAAUUUUAGCACAUCAAUGACAAAAUCUAAUGGCAACAUGCCUCCACUAAAGCUUGUUGUAUGUGUAAAUCUACGGUAACCCAUAUGAAUACAACACACAUAAAAAAAAAUUAAAACUUACACCCAAAUCAAUUAGGUAAAGGAUCCAAUUUAAUAAUUUGAUGAAUACCAAUAAAAAGGAGCUAUAUAAUAGUGAAGAGUAUAAUGGACCCAAUAUCAAAAACUAAAAAUUAUUCACUUUAUAACAUUGAUUCAAGAAAAAUAGGGACAAAUCUCAGCAAGAGUAUAAAGAAUCAAAAUAUUGUUCAUUGUAGAUAAAAUGAAAAGAAAGAUUCAUACCUAUGAGCAAUAUAGCAACGGAAUCAAAGUUUGGAUGAGUUCAAAAUCACAACUAUAGUGUUGAAAGAGUGCGAGGUAGAAGAAAGGAAGAACACCCAUUGUAGUUCUCUGACUUCUCUCUAUAACCCAAUUUUCUAAUGGAAUAAAGGAGUUAAAGGUGGGAAAACUAAAAGUGCUGAAAAUUUUGGGGGAAAGGUAAAAGGUCAUCUAAUAUUUUUUAAAAUUUUCGCGAAAAAAAUGGUUCAUUAAGUUAAAGAUUUUAUGAUUUAUUGUCUUUUUAUUAAAUUGAGAUGGAAUGUAAAUCCGUCAUAAUUUUUGUGAUGAUUUUGUGACGACAUAUAUUCAUUUAUUUUUAUUCUCUAUCAUUUUGUGACGGAAAUGUUCUGUCACAAAACUUAUAUUAAAUAUUUGUUACAAAUUUGUCACAAAUCCGUCAAUAUCAGAAUUUUAGUAGGUAAAAAAAUUCUUUUAAUUUUUUUUUAUUUAGCUUGCAUUGACCAUGAUUGUGAGUUAUGUUUUCUAACAUGUUAUUUUAUGAUUUAGCUUGGUCAUUGCAUGUCAUAUAAAGUCCUUUUUAGCAUAAUUUCAUAACUCUUAUGCAUUGCUAUCAUACUUAGUUGUCACGACCCAAGCCUAGGGCCUAGACGUGACCGGCGAAUGGGGGAACCCGAAGGAACCCCAAACAAGCCUCAUAGCGUAUCAUUACACAUCCUUGGUCGCGGAAGCAAUUAAAAUGACCAUAAGCGAUAAGCAUAAUCGAAAGGGGGGAAAUCGGGACUAAGGGAGCAAGAAGAAAACAAAAAAGGAAUGAUACAUAAAUACCAUAGAUGAGUCAAGCUCAAGCAUAAUACACAACUUGUCCAACACCACCUCUAAACAUGGGUACUUAGCGGGGGCCAAGACAAACUACCGGGCUCACCCUCAUAGUCAAAACAUAACUAAAAAGGAAAAGUCUUAUACAUAGCAAAAGAUCAUAAGCAACGUCCCCGGAAUGGAGGACUCACCAAUAACCUCGAUAGAAAAUUGUAUUAGCCACGCGGAGGAGGAUGGUCGAAGUGGUGCUCCG
Molecule: long non-coding RNA, 30933 nt
Filed under: Solanum tuberosum (potato)
Lineage: Eukaryota; Viridiplantae; Streptophyta; Magnoliopsida; Solanales; Solanaceae
Description: long non-coding RNA (STUB_LNC002557)
Source: RNAcentral